AGUGAAUAGAUACCCUGGUAGUCCACGCUGUAAACGUUGAUAACUCGUUGUUGGCGAUAUACUGUCAGCGACUAAAGCGAAAGUGAUAAGUUAUCCACCUGGGGAGUACGGUCGCAAGAUUGAAACUCAAAGGAAUUGACGGGGGCCCGCACAAGCGGAGGAGCAUGUGGUUUAAUUCGAUGAUACGCGAGGAACCUUACCUGGGCUUGAAAGUUAGCGACUGAGUGUGAAAGCAUUCAUCCCUUCGGGGCGCGAAACUAGGUGCUGCAUGGCUGUCGUCAGCUCGUGCCGUGAGGUGUUGGGUUAAGUCCCGCAACGAGCGCAACCCCGUAUCUUUAGUUGCCAGCACAUUAUGGUGGGGACUCUAAAGAAACUGCCCGCGCAAGCGGUGAGGAAGGUGGGGAUGACGUCAAGUCAGCACGGCCCUUACGUCCAGGGCUACACACGUGCUACAAUGGCAAGUACAAAGGGCAGCUACAUGGCAACAUGAUGCUAAUCUCUAAAGCUUGUCUCAGUUC
Molecule: ribosomal RNA, 518 nt
Filed under: uncultured bacterium
Lineage: Bacteria
Description: bacterial SSU rRNA
Rfam family: Bacterial small subunit ribosomal RNA
Source: RNAcentral